AUUGAACGCUGGCGGCGUGCCUAACACAUGCAAGUCGAGCGGCAGCGCGGGAGCAAUCCUGGCGGCGAGCGGCGGACGGGUGAGUAAUGCUUGGGAAUCUGCCUGUUAGUGGGGGACAACCCGGGGAAACUCGGGCUAAUACCGCAUACGCACUACGGUGGAAAGCCGGGGACCGCAAGGCCUGGCGCUAACAGAUGAGCCCAAGUCGGAUUAGCUAGUUGGAGGGUAACGGCCUACCAAGGCGACGAUCCGUAACUGGUCUGAGAGGACGACCAGCCACACCGGAACUGAGACACGGUCCGGACUCCUACGGGAGGCAGCAGUGGGGAAUAUUGGACAAUGGGGGAAACCCUGAUCCAGCGACGCCGCGUGGGUGAAGAAGGCCUGCGGGUUGUAAAGCCCUUUCAGUGGGGAAGAAAGCCUCGACCUAACACGUCGGGGUCUUGACGUAACCCAUAGAAGAAGCACCGGCUAACUCUGUGCCAGCA
Molecule: ribosomal RNA, 488 nt
Filed under: uncultured bacterium
Lineage: Bacteria
Description: bacterial SSU rRNA
Rfam family: Bacterial small subunit ribosomal RNA
Source: RNAcentral